UACGUAGGUGGCAAGCGUUGUCCGGAUUUAUUGGGUUUAAAGGGUGCGUAGGUGGAUUAGUAAGUCGGUGGUGAAAUCUCCGGGCUUAACCCGGAAACUGCCAUUGAUACUAUUAGUCUUGAAUACCGUGGAGGUCAGCGGAAUAUGUCAUGUAGCGGUGAAAUGCUUAGAUAUGACAUAGAACACCAAUUGCGAAGGCAGCUGGCUACACGAGCAUUGACACUCAGGCACGAAAGCGUGGGGAUCAAACAGG
This 253-nucleotide ribosomal RNA is filed under the name uncultured bacterium. Its description in RNAcentral is "partial 16S ribosomal RNA". It matches the Rfam family "Bacterial small subunit ribosomal RNA", at positions 524 to 776 of the family's 1533-position model. The record is from RNAcentral.